This is an RNA transcript of Orcinus orca (killer whale), 20855 nucleotides long. It is a transcript of the gene named solute carrier family 9 member A9, with no coding region annotated. Lineage: Eukaryota; Metazoa; Chordata; Mammalia; Artiodactyla; Delphinidae. The transcript has 15 exons. The record is from RefSeq and is a predicted model, not a curated record.
ACAGGAAGUUGUAACUAGAAGCCAUCUGAAUACUAAGCCAAGGCAGAAUGCUCAUGAAGUAGCAACUUAAGUGGCUGUGUUAUCCUGAAAUCCUCAGGCAGCCAGACCGUCUUAGGCAAACCUUGAUAAAACAGUCCUUAUCCAGGUUUUUAUCUAAGGAAUCCCGAGUAGACUGGAGAAUGGAGAGACAGCAAAGGUUCAUGUCAGAGAGGGACGAGUAUCAGUUUCAACAUCAGGGAGCGGUGGAGCUGCUUGUCUUUAAUUUUUUGCUCAUCCUUACCAUUUUGACAAUCUGGUUAUUUAAAAAUCAUCGAUUUCGCUUCUUGCAUGAAACCGGAGGAGCGAUGGUGUACGGCCUUGUAAUGGGAUUAAUUUUACGAUACGCUACAGCACCAACUGAUAUUGAAAGUGGAACUGUGUAUGAUUGUGGAAAACUGGUCUUCAGCCCUUCAACUCUGCUGAUUAAUAUCACUGACCAAGUUUAUGAAUAUAAAUACAAGAGAGAAAUAAGCCGGCACAACAUCAAUCCUCAUCAAGGCAACGCUAUACUUGAAAAGAUGACAUUUGAUCCAGAAAUCUUCUUCAAUGUUUUACUGCCACCAAUUAUAUUUCAUGCCGGAUAUAGCCUAAAGAAGAGACACUUUUUUCAGAACUUAGGAUCUAUUUUAACAUAUGCCUUCUUGGGAACUGCCAUCUCCUGUAUCGUCAUAGGGUUAAUUAUGUAUGGCUUUGUGAAGGCCAUGGUAUAUGCUGACCAGCUGAAAAAUGGAGACUUUCAUUUCACUGACUGUUUGUUUUUUGGUUCACUGAUGUCUGCUACAGAUCCAGUGACGGUGUUGGCCAUUUUCCAUGAACUGCAUGUCGACCCCGACCUGUACACACUCUUGUUUGGGGAGAGUGUGUUGAAUGAUGCAGUUGCCAUAGUCCUUACAUAUUCUAUAUCCAUUUACAGUCCCAAGGAGAAUCCGAAUGCAUUUGAUGCUGCCGCAUUCUUCCAGUCCGUGGGGAAUUUCCUGGGGAUCUUCGCCGGCUCAUUUGCAAUGGGGUCUGCGUAUGCUGUUGUCACGGCACUGAUAUCCAAAUUUACCAAACUGUGUGAGUUCCCUAUGCUGGAAACGGGCCUGUUUUUCCUCCUGUCUUGGAGCGCCUUCCUGUCUGCCGAGGCCGCUGGCCUAACAGGGAUAGUUGCUGUUCUCUUCUGUGGAGUCACACAGGCACAUUACACCUACAACAAUCUGUCGUUGGAUUCCAAAAUGAGGACUAAACAGUUGUUUGAAUUUAUGAACUUCUUGGCUGAGAACGUCAUCUUCUGUUACAUGGGCCUGGCGCUGUUCACGUUCCAGAAUCAUAUCUUUAAUGCUCUUUUCAUACUUGGAGCCUUUCUAGCAAUUUUUGUAGCCAGAGCAUGCAACAUAUAUCCCCUCUCCUUCCUCCUGAAUCUGGGCCGGAAACACAAGAUCCCCUGGAACUUUCAGCAUAUGAUGAUGUUUUCAGGUUUGCGAGGAGCGAUAGCUUUUGCCUUAGCUAUUCGGAACACAGAAUCUCAGCCCAAGCAAAUGAUGUUUACCACCACUCUGCUCCUCGUGUUCUUCACAGUCUGGGUAUUCGGAGGAGGAACAACCCCCAUGCUGACUUGGCUUCAGAUCAGGGUUGGUGUGGACCCGGAUGAGGAUCCAAAGGAGCCCUCUUCACACCAGGCAACAAACAACUCUGGCAAAAGCACGACGAAAACAGAGACUGCCUGGCUCUUCAGAAUGUGGUACAGCUUUGACCACAAGUAUCCUUUGAUAAUGAUAAUCUCCCAGGUCCUGCUACAUGGCAGACACUGACUUCGAGCACUUAAUCAUUGAGGUCUGCGCUGCUGCUCUUCAAGAAAUGCAGAAAGGAAGCAUAUGUGAAAAUGAAAGAAAGAAAUGAAAUAAAGUCCAAUACGCUGCCAUCAAUAGCUGCUUACCGUCUCAUCCAGCUUCCAGCAAGACCUGGUUUUACCCUAUUUCUGCUAGAAACAAAGGAAGAAAUCUUAAUCCCUUUUGACAAGCCAUGAACUCACCUUUUUUUUUCUAACUGGAUCCUCUUCAUCAUCUUGGUUUCGAAAUAAUUCUUUCAAGACAGAGUUAGAAAUAGCUGCCCUGCUACGUCUGGCUGUGGAUAAGAGUGGGCAGAUGGGCUUCCCUGGUGGCGCAGUGGUUGAGAGUCCGCCUGCCGAUGCAGGGGACACGGGUUCGUGACCCGGUCCGGGAAGAUCCCACAUGCCGCGGAGCGGCUGGGCCCGUGAGCCAUAGCCGCUGAGCCUGCACGUCCGGAGCCUGUGCUCUGCAACGGGAGAGGCCACAGCAGUGAGAGGCCCGCGUACCGCAAAAAAAAAAAAAAAAAAGUGGGCAGAUGACAACGGUGGUGGCCUCUUCGUUCUCGCACAGAGCAGGAGGCUCCUCUCUCUUUACACGUAGGGAAACUGAGGCUCAGCAGAGCUGGGACUGAAACCCUGGGCAUGGGACACCCCCAUCCAGGGGCUCUUUCCCUAUCUGUGUUUUAUCGCUCUGGACUUCAGCUGGGAGUAGCUGCCGUUUGAUUUCUGGUUUAACCGAAAACACCUACAAGUGCUUAUAACAAAUUCUCUUCGGAGGAAUUUUGAACUUCACUUUUAUUCCUUCACGUAUCUGUUUCCUUGAGUGAGUUUCUUGAUUUCCCCUUUUAUCUGUCUCAUCAUUCCAUUUGUUAACGCAAACAAAUGCUCCUUUCCCAUGCAGCCAUCUGAUUAAACCAUACAUAAAGUUGCUUCUCUAUUAAAGCCCUAAAUUAGUUGCCAUGCUUGGGAACGUUCUUGAACCAGUACAUGACCAAAUUCAAUGAUGAAAUAUAUCUUCGAUGCUCCUUGCUGAGAAAAACGCUAUCCAUUAUCUCAUAGGCUCACAGAUGGGCACAUUCUGCGGUUCUAGCAAUUGCUUCAGUUAUGUCCCCUACCAGGUCCAAGUUCAUGUCCUUGGAUUGUUAGAUGCUUUUUGUUUAUUUGAGGUUUAGCUGGUGAGGAGAAAUUCCGUUUCCUUUCAUUUGCUUUUCCGGAAUAACUAGUCAUUUUCCUUUCUGGAAAAAAAGAAAAGUUAGACUUGCCCUUGGCUGUGAUAUUACUUAUUAUUUGGUGAAGGAAAUUGACAACAGUCAUCUGAAAAGUUUUGUGGAGAUUGAAUGUAAUGUUUUUUUCUCACGAUUUUUCUCUUGUUUUCUAAUAGCUAGUGUUUUCUUUUUCUUUUCAUUUUAUUCAAAGGUUUUAAUAAAAAUAAUAUAAUACAAAAAGGCCACAGAGUGCUGAGAAAGAAAUGAGACUUUAGUAUGAUUAUUUUUAAGUGUAUUUUUUACAACAUCAAGUAUCAGUUUUCUCUUGCAAUUGGCUCAGCACUCAUUUUGAUGAGAAUAAUGGAAAAAUUAAAUGAGGUUCCCCUUUGAGUAAAGUUAUGCUUUUCAUCCUCUCUCUCCACUUUUUUUCCUCGUCUGGUCUCCAGUUCUUUGUACACAGUGGUGUUCCUUUACCCUUAGCCAAAUGAAAAGAGAACAUUUUUCCCACAAAUUUAUUAUGCUGAGAGAGUUUUAACUGGCAUAUAGGGAGAAAUCUAUAUUCAGAUAAGAAUUUAUACAAGUCUGAGCUUGUCUUUGAAAUCCGUUUUGUCUGUGCUUGGACCUUCCUACAAAUUUGAAGGGAGAGGGAGUAGUUAAAAUUGGAUUUAGUUCUCUUUUGCCCUUUAGUUUAAUCAAAAAGAAAUUCUUUAUAUUCAGUGAACUUAAAUAUCUAUAACUUUAAAUAAGACAUUAUUUUUCCUCCUUCUGUAGACAAGCUAUAUUAAGGGGGGCAUAUGCAUAGAUGAGACAAUUCUUUCAUGUGACAGAGACUCCAGUUCACUAAGGUCUAUCCUUUCCCCACUUUUCUACUUACCUAGAUUGGAAUCCAUGCUCCACCAUUUCAAUAACACCUUUCCAAGCACUCUAGAUUCCUUUGUCCACUAUCCUUUUGGUACACCCAUCUGACAAAACCCCAAGCCGUGGUGGACCCAACUCUCUGCUUUUGGGGGAAACUGCACCUGAGUUGCUGAGCCCUGUUAGAGUUACACACCUGGGAAGACUUCUUCUCCAUUAAACUGUUGAAUACCAACCUCAAAUGGAUCUGUACUGCUCAACUCUCCUACUUCACAACUCUCAUAACUUUGAUCUUUAAUUACUCUUUCAAACCUAUGUCUGCUCUCCUGAAACUUCAACUCUCCAACUUUCCCAUCUUUUUUUUUUUUUUUUUUUUUUUUUUUUUUUUUUUGCGGUACGCGGGCCUCUCACUGUUGUGGUCUCUCCCGUUGCGGAGCACAGGCUCCGGACGCGCAGGCUCAGCGGCCAUGGCUCACGGGCCCAGCCGCUCCGCGGCAUGUGGGAUCUUCCCGGACCGGGUCACGAACCCGUGUCCCCUGCAUUGGCAGGCGGACUCUCAACCACUGCGCCACCAGAGAAGCCCCAACUUUCCCAUCUUGCUCUCAACAAAUGAGCUCCCCUCCUAAUAGAGAGAGGAGGCUAAUGGAGAAUAGAAGCCAUUAGAUGGGAACUCCUCUCAUCUAUCUGUCAAACGUUCAAAACAACCUACUUCCACACUUUCUCUUUUCUUAUAUUGUCAACCACUCCUUCUCAACUAAAUCUUUUGAACUGACUUGUUAAAAAUGUUUAUUUUGGAGUAUAGUUGAUUAACAAUGUUGUAUUAGUUUCAGGUGUACAGCAAAGUGAUUCAGUUAUACAUAUACAUGUAUCUAUUCUUUUUCAAAUUCUUUUCCCAUUUGGGUUAUUACAGAAUAUUGAGCAGAGUUCCCUGUGCUAUACAGUUAGGUCCUUGUUGGUUAUCUAUUUUAAAUAUAGUAGUGUGUAUAUGUCGAUCCCAAACUCCCAAUUUAUCCCUCCCCCCCAAACUUAAGAAGUCUUAACCAUUUAACACCAACUACAUAAAUAAAAACUUUCAGUAACCUCACAACCCCUUCAUCAAUCAUCUUCUUUCAGCUUCCAUUUUAAAGUCUAAAUUCUCAGAAAAAAAUGACUAUAAUCACUGUCUCCAUUUAUUCUCCUUCUACUCAGUCCUCAUCCCACUCAGUUCUGGCUUCCAUCUCAACCACUUUACUAAAGCAGUUUGUUAGGUCCACAAUGACCCCCAGAUCUCUAAACCAUACAGAUAUUUUUCAGUUCUCUUCUGACGUGUCUUUUUUUUUUUUUUACAUCUUUAUUAGAGUAUAAUUGCUUAACAAUGGUGUUAGUUUCUGCUUUAUAACAAAGUGAAUCAGUUGUACAUGUACAUAUGUUCCCAUAUCUCUUCCCUCUUGCGUCUUCCUCCCUCCUACCCUCCUUAUCCCACCCCUCUAGGUGGUCACUAAGCACCGAGCUGAUCUCCCUGUGCUAUGCGGCAGCUUCCCACUAGCUAUCUACCUUACAUUUGGUAGCGUAUAUAUGUCCAUGCCACUCUCUCACUUUGUCACAGCAUGUGGUACUGUUGAUGGCUCCCUGCUUGUCAUGCUCUUUCCCUUGUCCUCCCUGACUCAACACUCUCUUUGAGUUUCCUCCUGUCACUCUGGCCAAUCGUUUUCAGGCUCAUCUUUCUGUGUCCUUUAAAUGCUGGGAUUAAUCAAGAUUCUAUCCAAGGCCCUCUUCUCACUCUGUUCUCUAUUCCUAACUGUCCAUCUAUACUGUUGGACUAAAAUAACAGGGAAACAGAGAUAAGUCACAAAUUUAAACCUCUGUCAAACUCCAGGUACGUAGAUGCAACUUACUUGAUAGCCCCACACAUAUGCCUUAAACUCAGGAAUUUCCCCUGCAAACCUAAUCCAUGUCCAGUGUCCGCUCUGUACUGUUAACGCAGACAAAAAACUCAAGCAUUUUCUUGGAUUCCCUCUCCUUUAUCCAGCUGUUAUAUAAAUCAUCUCUCACCAGUUUUACUACCUUCAGAAUUUACGUUCAGGAUAGCUUAGAAUGUUCUGAUUGUUAUUGUUUGGUUGAGUUUUUUAGAAGAACUACCUAACACCUUUUUUUUUCCUCCAACACACUGAAACAAGAAUUAUAAAUGGGAAAUGAUGUAAGUGUAAAUACUGCGCAGGAUCAAGUAUUUUUUGAAAAAAAAAAAAAAAUUACAUGCCAGGAAAUAUUUUGUUUUUUUAAAGAAAAACAACAUUAAUAGUGGGCAUCAUUCUUGUCACGUUCUCGAGGUCAGAGUCACUAAAUUACACAGGACUGAGACACAUUCUCACAGCUACACCCAAAAAUUUCAAGAGGUCUAAAUGGAUUAUCAUAUCUUCUUAGAUACAUACAUUUCUUCCAUUUGGAGGAAUUGUAAAACAGAGUAUUAAAGUUCAUUUUCUGAUCAUAAAAUCUUUUAAAUGGGCCUCCUCAUUGUAUUGGAUUUCUCAAGAGAUCUGUAACUUAGCCUGUAAAAGAGAUGUCUUAAUAUAUUUUAAAAUAUUAUCUUUGGUUCUAAGCAGAAAGCACUAAAGACUUAAAAUGAACAUUUUACCCUGUUUUCUUUUGGUCUUGACUGUUUUUACACUAGGAAAGAAUGAUACAUUCUUCUGCAAAACCUCCUAAGAAUAUAGAACUAAAUGCAUCAGAAUAUUGCAUUGUUUGGAAAAAUGAAAGAGGUGUAUUUUUGCAAGUAAACCCUCUACCUAUAUUGAAAGCUCAGUAUUCAUAGGAAUGUUGAUAGGAGCUUUCUCAAAUAAUAUGCCUCCCUCUGCCAAAAUACAAAACAACCUCCAUCAGUUAAUAAUGAGCAUGACUAAUUAUUAACCUGAACAACAGAUGACAUCAGAGAAAACGGGCAUAAAUUAUCCCAAAAUGAACUGUGAAUGAAUCUGUCCACUUAAUGAAUCUAAUUUACAUGAUUCUUCUCCCUGCUGUUCCCUUUGUAAAUAAUCUUUCAUUUAAAUAAUUUCCAGCCCCAAAGCUGGAAUCAUUAUUCUGAGAAUUAUGUGGGUUUGGUGGGUAAGCCAUUCCUUCAGCCGUAACUCGUGAGCUGUUCAGAUCAUUGAUCAGUACACCUGGCUGUAAGUUUAGGUAUAAUGUUGCUCAGGUAGUCAGCUCAGGACCUUUUUCAGAGCUCAGAUCACAGAGAGAGAACUCAUGGGAACUCAUGGGACCUAGAACCAGGCUUCCAAGGCAGCAGUGUUGGGUAAAUAGCCUAGUGAAAAUGUAUACCCUCUGUCAUUUUUAACUUAUGAAUAGCAGACAAAAGUGCUUCCUUUUAUAUGUAAACAUGAAUCAUCUUUGACACCAUCAGAAGAAUCAGUGGUAGUCAGGCCACUUUCACAGCCUUCCAGGUUCCAGCAGACCCUUUUAAUUCAUGCUGUGGGGACACAAUGGGGACUCCUGCAGUUUUCUCUUUACAGCACCUUUUUUUUUUUUUUUUUUUUUUUUUUUGCUGAAUCCAAGACCACAUUAUGAAGCCAUAUCAUUGAUUUGAUCGACUACCACUUGUGGCAGUUCUCUCUUAACUGUUGAAAAUUAUUUUGUUUCCCUCUUAACAUCUUGCUAAAACAUCUCAUUCUGAAAACUGGCUUACUGUUGCCCUUCAUUCCCACACUUUGCUUAGAAAAAGAGAAGAAUUUUAAAAGAAUGCCCUCCUGUUCCUGUCACUACAAAGUGAGAAAUCAAAAGGAGUUUAAUAUUUCCUGUCACACAUGUACUCAUGUGAGCCUGAUCACACAAAAUUAGUCCCUUCAUAAUAAAAAGGGAGAGAACCAAGGAAAAAAAGCGUUCAUAACCUCUUCUGGUAUUAAGUCUAUGGGAUGUGCUACACAUUCAAACCAUCUAUUAAGGUCAAAACCAUUAUCUCCUUCUCUGUGUGUCUAAACUGCCUGUAUCAGUCAUUUCAGCGGAUAAAAGAAUAAAGACUAGAAAAUAGAAUAGUUGCAGAUUUGAGAAACGGUCAAAAGUGUCAGUGCCAUGAAUGGCACUAAUACCACUUGUAUUAUUACAGCCAUUUUUAUAUUACUAGCAUUUGAGGAUUACAUUAUGUAGCAUUUGAGGAUUGUUUUGACAAUGUGUUCAAAGAGAGAUAAGAUAGAAAGAAGGAAGAGUCUUUUCACAAAGAGGGACAUGUUUGUGUGGCCUGUAUAUCCCGGCUUGAACGUGCACUAGACAUACUGUACCCAACCUGAGUGAUUAAACAGAUCACCCAAAAGGAAUUCUUGCAGCUAAUUUUCAGUCUGCUUGGUCUUUUGAAAUAACGUGAUAUGCUAUGGUCUCCACGGGGGCAUGUGUCUGCAGCAUUGCCAGAUUUUCACUUGCUCAGGUUAAUCUUGACAAAUCCAGUUCCUGGCAGCUUUGUGGCCUUGAAGGUUAUUUUAUUUGUGGCUACUUAUUUGCUCUAGUGGCUACCUAGAUAAUCGCAUUGGGUGGGGUGUUUUGAAUCUAAGGUAGUUCAAUGAUCAACAGGAAUACAUCCCCAAAAGCUUUGUAAGUGGCCUCAGGAGGAAUCUCCCAGCUCAUUAAGUUCUGGAUGAGGGCCUUCUGGUCAUAAGGAAGCACACGUUCUGGUGUUUGUUUCAUUGAGAGUUCCCUUCCUAAGGGAUCAACAGGCAGCUUCCAGCAUGGUCAGCAAAGCACUCCGAUGUGCUAAGUAAACUCUGAAACUUGGAACCACAGUUUCCACAUUCACCUUUGCCUGCCUCCUACUAAGGUGGCAGGGGAGCCGGGCCCUUCCCAUGACAUGGCUCAUAACACAGCUCUACAUCCAGACGCGGAUUCGUCAAGAAUCGGUGACAUUCAACUCUCAGGGCCCUUCCGUCAAGGGAGCCCCUUGUAAAGAAUCUGUCCUUAUUUUAUACUCAAAGUUUACAUUCUCUUUGUUAAGGAGGGUCCCCCAGAUUGGAUAACCUUCAGGCGCCACAAAAUCUGGAUCCACUCCUAUUCAUUUGAGUAAGCAAGACACAGCAAAUACGAUCUAUUGUGAGCCUUAUUGUAAUAAUAUGUGUCACAUCACUGUGAAAGAUUUCAAUCUCUAGCACCCAUUUAGCACCAUUUUCUGCAUUAUUGGAGCAGUUUUGGUAAAAUAAUAUAUUUUCAAUAUACUUCCGCGGGGCUCAAAAAUUCCUCAGGAAGUUCAAUCCUCAAUUUGGUAUCUGAAACUAAUGUUAUUCCUCUCCACAUCUCUCCCCAACCAUCUUGCACAGCUUCUCCUGCUCAUCACACUAUGGCAAGUACCUUGUCACCUCCUGAAAAGUGUGCUUAAAUUCACAGGUACCCAGUCAUGUUUUUUUCCAGGAUGUCCUCCAAUACCUUUCAUUCUUCAGUCUAAAUUUGCACUGUACAGCCAAUGACCCAGAAUGACUCUCUUGCCCUCCUUUGCCACUUGGUACAGUUAUGAAUUGAUGAUUACGUUGAAAUCUCACUCUGGAUCCCCCAAACCACCCCAGACCACAUAUCCUUAACUUCAAGCAUUGGAGGCUCCCAAACUGGUCCCAUCUCAGGCAUACGUUCUCAUGACCAAGACUUCAUGGGAGCUCGGCACCUGUAAGCCUUCUGCUCCAAAGGGUCUGCACGAUAGAAUCACUAAAGAACAGUGACAAAAAGCCUAAUGAAGGAAAAUUACCUCCCAGUCAUACCAAAUUAAUGCUAUCCUGAGAUAAACCCAGAGAAAAGAACUGAUUAUAUGCAAUAUAAGUGCCAAAAGGCAUUUGGGCAGAUUUUUCAGCCUAAAGGAUAGUGGGAGGGGCAGUCCUAAGAGUUUUGUUAAGGAUUUCUUAAAGAAUUUUCUUUGAAUUAAGUACCCUUUUCAGCUUUAAUUAUGAUUCUGCUACCAGCAAGAGUGGUAAAGUUCAGAUGAUCCAAACUGCACAAAAUAUGUAGAAAUGAAUAAAAACUUUUGUCCUGAUGACUGACAAAUUUCAAUAAAUUCCUCAUCUCUCUUUUUUACAUUCCUCAUACCAAGCCAUUCAUACUGUCAUCUUAGAAAGAGCAAAUGAAAGGGCACCUGCAGACAGGUUUUGGGAUCUUAAGAGAACCUUUACUGAGUGGAGAUAAGAUCUGAACAGAAGACCUUUUCUGAGUAUAUUCUGAAAUACAGACAGAUGAGUAUAGUAAGGGCAAAUAAUUAUUAUGAAUUGCAUCUGGAAAAGGAUUGGUGCCCCCUUUCCAGAAGCAAUCUUGAAGAGGGUGCAAACAGAGAGCCCUGGGAGAGCUGCCAAAGCCCAAACCAAAACCUCAUUGACAGUGUCUCUUCAGACUCUGCUAUAGAAUGGUUGAGAUAGGAACCCAUCUUGGUUCUCCGCUGAGCAAUCCCAACUGCUCAUCAGUAACUGUUUGCUCACCAUGAUAGCCUCUAGGACUACCACUGUGCCUGGCACAUAGCAGGUGUUCUAGUAAAUGUUUAAUCGGCAAGUAAUCAGAAAGGUCCUUCAGUUAAAUAAUAGUAAAAACACGAACGUUUUCCACAAAAAGGCUUGCUCUAUUUCAGGCUGGUGUUGGGCAUUGGCUUUUGACCUCUGCCCACUGCUUUAUUUAUGUAUUUGCUUUGCACUUAAUUUUUCUGGCUUAGCAUGGUUGUGCACAGAAUCUGGAACCUAAGACCGUAUUAGGCCAUUCAAGCACGGAAUUAUAGUUUGUUGGCUGAUAAUACGCAAGGGUGCCUAGGAGACUAAGCAGGAUGUAAUAGUGCUGAGGGCUUCUAACAGGAAUUUAAUCAACCGUGAUUCCAAGACACUUAUUAUUUUGUUUACAGUGUCACGAUGCACAAGUUCUCACGUUGUGUCUUUAGUGCUCUUUAGAGUUCUCCUAUGCAUUAGUCUUUGACCUGAUUGCUUUUUUCCAUGUCAGUUAACACCUUUUUGGGAGCUGUAAUUGUAUGUAGCACACACCAUAAUUCAGGCAGCACAAUUCUUUUUUUCUUUUUUUUUUUUGCGAUACACGGGCCUCUCACUGUUGUGGCCUCUCCCGUUGCGGAGCACAGGCUCCGGACGCGCAGGCUCAGUGGCCAUGGCUCACGGGCCCAGCCGCUCCGCGGCACGUGGAAUCUUCCCAGACCGGGACACGAACCCGCGUCCCCUGCAUCGGCAGGCGGACUCUCAACCACUGCGCCACCAAGGAAGCCCAGCGCAAUUCUUUUACAGAAGCAGUUGUCACUCCCAGAGUCGUAUUAAUAAUUGUGAGAAAACAGUGAAUUGAGCAACGGUUGUAAACAUGAACCUAAUGAUCAGAACUGAACACAGCCAAGCUCGGCUUUGGAACAGGAGAGGAAAUGAUCAGAGUCGUGUGAUUGUUGAGAACUUCAGAGAACACCUCAACAAUCUGCUCUUUUAGUGACAACUGUCAUUCACCAGGCGCAACAAGGGUUUUCAAUGAUGGGCCAGUGCCAUAUGAUGGAGAGCCUUAAGAACAGCAGUGAAAAGGAUCUGAAGAAUCAUUUAUUCAUAUUAGAAACAAAGUAGUAUGUCAGUGCAGAAGGAGGGCAUGUGACAUAAAGGAAGGCAGGAGGGAAAAGGAAUUCUGUGCACUGAGCGAGAAUCAAGCAGCCUGGAACACAACUGGAGAAGAUCCUCAUCCAAGGCUUGAGCCGAGUAGGUGAGCAAGAGAGCUGGAAACUGCAUUUCUUCCCUCCAGACACUCAGCUCCUAUGCGGCAAAUUGUAAUUAAUUACAAAAGCCAGAGAUGACAGCCAACACACGCUAGCAGUGAAGGAGGCUGGGGGCACCUGUCCAAGGAGCAGUGUGAUGAGCCUCCACACCAGGAGGGGGCACUCAUGAGCAGACUGUGAGACAGAGCAAGGUGGCAUUCCAGGGAUGCACAAAUAAUCAUCGAUGAUGAUUGAGAGUGAAGCCCUCGGUGGCAGGUAGUGGCGUAGGGAAGCCAAAAGUCCGUCCCUCGGGCUGUCAGGUGACACAGAGCCUUGCGUAGAAGGCAUCAGUAAGAUUUAAGUUAUGGAAUCUGAAGGUUUCCAGCAUUCUUAACCACUCCUUGGUUAUCCAACAAGGCCUAAUAGGGAAGAGAUCACAUGGCAUUCUUUUGUGUUAUUAGCUAAGGUGGUGUGACUUGUGGAACUUUGAAGGUCUUUGGAUUCAAGACACAUGGGUUCAGACCCCUGUCUCUUUCACUUAAUAACUGAGUGACUUGGCCAGGUCACUUUUCAAAUCUCUUUCGUAAUCUUCAAAACGGGAAGAAGCUAUUGUCAUAAUGGCAAAGUAUCAAGCACUAUACCCACAUGCAUGAUUAUUUUAAUCAAUUGGCAGCCUAGACAUACAAUCCUCAGGCUGCUUUAAGUCAUUUUUUAACAUAAAGGUGAUGGAUUACCCUGGACCAUUCUGACUGUUUUCCUCAACCCAGUGGCAGCUAUGAGUGGAAGCAAACACCUGUGUAAGGCCAUCACCUGGUUUGGGUGCAGUCAGGUGUGCCAUUAUUUUUAAAGAAUCUUUUAAAAAUAUGUGUAUGCAUGUCCCAAGUUCUGUACACACACUCUAGGCUAGGAAUGAGUUAAAUGAUUAAACAGAGCUGACUGGCUCCCACCUGCUCCCUCUCUCUCUCUCUCUCUCUCUAUGGGUUUCACAAAGGUGUUUGUUAAUAUAACACUGCCCUGUCUCCCUGUCAGGAGCUCCAGUCUGACACAGAAAAACACAGACCAAAUCAGGCCAAAGAUGUUUACAAUGCCUUUCCCUUUGCCACAUUUUUUGUGCAAACUGAAAGAUUACAGAAAACUGGAUUCAGUUUUAUUUAUAAUGAAGCCUCUUAGAGUGGAUUUAGGCACAACUGGAUUGACAACCGUAACACUUUGACACUGCAAUAAAAAAUGAGAGCUCUUUUCUUUCUUGGAACUCUGCAAGACCACUACGGUAAUGUGGCCAGUUUUCAGCCUGGUACAAAAAAAUACACACUCCGUACCUCUCCAAAACCACAUGAGUAUAUGUUUUAAUAGGGCUUUUUAUUUAAAGAGACAUCCAUAUUAGUCUCUUGUAUAAUAUAUAAAGGUCACUUAAUUGGCGUUCAAGGAUCCCUCCUUGCUUGAGAGAAAAGCAAAAAGCAUGUGAUUCUCCUUCAUGGGGUCAUGACUGCUUCCACUCUGGCCCUGACGAGAAGCAGCAGUGGGUUCUGACUUUCAAAGUACCCACUCCUCUGCCAACAGAGAGGAUGUAGGUCUAGGAAGAAAGGGAUGUGGGUACAAGGCCAGGGUCUCCAUAGGCUGGAGAUUCCUCUUCCCACUCUUUAGUUUCACAAGAAUCUUCAUCAGGGUUUGUCAAGCUGUCUCUAAAGUAGUAGUUUCUAAGCAUGGAGGCAGCUCAGCAUCCCCUGAGGCACUGAUUAAAAGUUCAGAUCACUGGUCCUCCCCCUGCAGAUUCUGAUUCAGGCAGCCUGGGUGUAAGGCCCAGGGGAUCUGUAUAUUUAACCAGUAUUGCAGGGGAUUCUGCUAGAGUAGGUCAACAGGAAAGCUUUGGGAAAGUCCAGAAGUCCUCUGAAGGAGCUGCCCUGUCAGAUUCCAAUAGAGCCUGACUACUGUGCCCAUUUUACAGAAGAGAACACUGAGGCUCAAAGUCACAAAGUAAGUAAGGGGCCAAACUGGCUCAUGAAUCAAAAUCUGUUAGGUUGCAUAGUCCACACUGUGACCCACAAUGAGAUAGUCCCUCCAGUGCAGCGGGUGACUGAGUCUCAUGCCACUUCCUCUGCUGUGGCUUCUAUUCGUUUUCCGCAUGUCAGCUUCCAACAGCUGUCUACUAAUAUAUGCUGUUGAAAUGUAAUAACCAGGAUUGUUAAAUCAGAAACCUUGACUUUAAACACAUUUUAACUCCAUGGUCAUGGUAUAAGGGCAUGUAGGUCGAUCCAGAUCUCUCCUGAGAGUCAAGUUCAUGGGCUUUGUGACACCUCUUUUCUGCUAUGUUCAGGUCACUUUUUCAGACAUGCACAGGGUCAAAAUUGAAUUUCCAGACAAUUAAAAUUAAAAGAAGUCCAAUUGAUCGACACAUGCAGAUGCUUACCCAGGGAUGUCUUAUGUCUAGUUCAGUGCUCUUCACACCAAUUAUAGCCUUUUUGUUUUUCAAAUAUAAAAUUAGUAAAAGCAAAACUGCUCGGGUUGAAGAUGGGAUGAACAUCCUAGAGCCUAGAGUCCAACCCUCUCUCCUACCUUCUUCUCCUCCCCAUGACAUCCACUGAGGUCCCUCCCAUACAGCAAGGAAUCUUGGGGCUCCACAGAACACAGCUAGAAAGCCAAGGUCCCAGGGUCUCCUUGCAAUUAAAAAAAAAAAAAAAACAGACGCUAACGAAAUGCAUAAGAUUUUGUCGAGAGAGUAAAAUGUAACAAAUGAAUAAAACACCCCUUACUUGGCUCCGUUGUUAGGAAUUAAUACAAUCUGAUAAUUGAAGACUUUAGACAAAGUUAGGGACUUCUGCACUCUGUGGUGUGUUCCUCUGCUGGCGGCUUUUAUUACCAGGGCAAGCCAUGGGGCUCACCUAGCUGCAGUAACAUGCUUUCCUCAAGCCCAACCUUCAUGGCCAAUCACCCAGGCCAGGAAGCAGCCUGCUGGAUUGUAGAUGAGAUACAGGUUGUCAAAUUCAACUCAUGUCAUGGCUGCUGGCUAUUCUAGCUGUCUCUGUUGUAUAGAGAGAGAUAAUAGAAUUGAAGUUUCAGACCAAGUCAGAACUUAGUGCUUCCUGUGAAUCACUAGUUUCCAGCUUAUUAGUUCUGAAAUGAUCUGGAUAGUUAGGUAGCCACGGAGCAUUAAUUGGUUGCUAAAUAACAAUUGGUUGGACAAAUCCAAGUUUUAUAUACAUUUGCAAAAGGACCUAAUGUGUCUUUUAAUUUUAGAGGUUUCAUUGUACUAUCUGUUCACAGGAAUCACAACCAAGCAAACGCAGCUAGUCAGGGCAAUGAUGUGAUGUGCAUACAAUGAGGAUUUAGGCCAGCCAGGACACAGAGUGAAAGAUAGUUCCUGGUGGGUGGGAAUUACCUUGUCCGGACCAGAGGGAAACACUGAUGUUCCCAUCAGUCCUCCAUAAAAAGACUACAGUAGGUGUAAAAUAACCCAUUUCCUUAAUGCCAUUUGCAGCAACAUGGAUGGACCUAGAGAUUAUUAUACUAAGUGAAGUAACUCAGACAGAGAAGGAAAUACUAGAUGAUAUCACUUAUAUGUGGAAUCUAAAAUAUGACACAAAUGAAUGUAUCUAUGAAACAGACCCACAAAUAUAGAGAACAGACUUGUGGUUGCCAAGGGGGAAGUGGGCUGGGGGAGGGAUGGAUUGGGAGUUUGGGACUAGCAGAUGUAAACUAUUAUACAUAGAAUGGGUAAACGACAAGGUCCUACUGUAUAGCACAGGGAGCUAUAUUCAAUAUCCUGUGAUAAACCAUAAUGGAAAAGAAUAUGAAAAAGAAUGUAUAUAUAUGUAUAACUGAAUCACUUUGCUAUACAGCAUAAAUCAGCUAUACUUCAAUAAAAUAAAUUUUUUUAAAAGUCACCCAUUUCCUGAGCCACAGGUCCAGCCCAGCCUACUUGACAGAGCAAGAGGCUCAGGUUUUAGUUCCCGAAAGUGAACUUGAUCAUACCUAAGAGUAACAAUACACUCCUCAACUGCUCUUAUUUCUUCUAAUGUAUUUCCUGCGUUUUAUAUAUGAUUUAAAUUAAAAGUCCUGAAAGUAACAUGGAGGAGUGAAAAGAAUAUAACUCUUGGCAUCAGAGUACCCUGUGAUCAUAAACAAGUUACUUAAGGUCUCUGAGAUGUGGUUACUUCAGCUGUAAAUUGGGAAUAAUAAAUACAUAUUUACAGGAUUAAUGUGGGGAUCAAGUGAAAUGAUACAUCUGCAUAUAAGUUAGCAAACACAUAAACACACAGAAGACUGCCAAGAAAGCACAGUCAUUAUUAGUUAUACUAUUUGAAUAAAGGCCAAACAAGGGUAAAUCCUUUCCCAUCUUCCCCACGUCAUCUUCUCCCCUCUCCAAGAUCAUCAUGAAGGAAGAUAAAACCUAUUACGUUUCAUAAAUGUUCCCAUUAACUAGUACCCAGACGAGUGGAUCUCAACCCUUGGGCACACAUGAAUCAUUUGGGUUCAUUGGUUUGGGGUGGGACCUAGGUACAAGAUAUUUUUAACAAGCACUCAGGUAUUUCAAUGUGCACCCGGGGUUGAGAACCAAUGACUUUUCUGAUUCAAGAUUCUGCCCACUCCAAUCCAUUCUCUAGUGUACUAGUAAAAUAGGCUUCCCAAUAAUCAAAUCUGACCUUGUCAUUCCUAGAUUUAAAAACCUCAGAAUACUUCCUUUGCCUGCAGCAAAGAGAGGGAAUAUACUUUUCCUAUGUGCCAAUCCUAGCAAGGUGGAGGGGGCUUCCUAAAGCCCUGUGCAGAGAAAGAUUCCAUGGGUCGGCCUGGGCUCAGCAGGAAAGAACGCCAUUCAUGGCGGACUGGGGACAUCUGCCAUGAGGGUAGAAAGGGGGAAGCUCUGGGAUUGCCAUUCCCAGUAUAUAGAAUAAAGCUGAAACUCUAACAUGACAUUGAAGAUCCUGAAGGGGUUAUUUCUCUAGUUCCACUUCCUGUCUAUGAAGCCACAAGCUUUAUCCACGAUCAAUUUCUUAUUUUCUUAUUUUUCCUCCCAAGCAUGAAUCCUUAAGUCUGUGACUUUGCUCCUACUACUCCUUUGCUAGGAAAGGAAAGGGCCUUGCCCUCCUCCCACCCCACCAAUACCACUCCUUAGUCCACUAAUCCAUCUUCAAAAUUCAGGCUGAAGGUCACUUUAUCAAUUUCCUAUGACGACGCCAGAUAUAAUUAGUCUCUCUCUCCACCUCCAUCCUUGCGAAGCAUUUUCCCCUAUUUUUAUAACUGAUUUUGUCAUAGUACCAUAUGGUAAUUUACUCUCUGUUUACAUAUGCAAGUCCCCCAAUAUACGAUGCACAUCACUACUGCUCAGUAAAUGUCGAAGAAUGAAUGAAUGAAUGAAUGAACGGACUCCUUGGUGGCAGAUACCGUUGCUUACUCAUCUUUGUUUCCCAAUGCCCAGCUAAUAACUGACGCAUAGUAGGAAUUCAGAAGUCUGCUGAGUGACUGAGUCAGUGUCUAAAGGCUCUGCUGCCAUCCAUAUGGCGCAGUGAUCUGGGCUCAUUCUGAGUCACAAAUCACGAUCUGCCAGAAAACUUCCAUCUGGAGAGAUCACUCCCCUCAGCAGCUUUUCCUUUCAGUCUUUAGGCCUGUUUUGUUCCUUAUUCAACAGGAAAUAAUUGAAUGCUAGCACUGGCUCAAAAAUAACUCGGGAAGCUAUAAAAAUUGUAAAAGGUCUAUUAGUAAUAUUGUGCAGGGUGCUUUAUGGCAGCCUUGCAGAGAGCCAUCCAUUUAGUUCCCAGGGUUUCUUUAUGCAUUUCUGUUGCAGGUGUUCUUCUUAUCCAGGUGGUCAAGGCAGCCCACCAGCCCCUCACAACCCUCUUGUGUGCAACUUGGCCUUGCUGACUGCUCGGUGCAGCGAAACUGAUCAGCUGUCUAUGUGGAGUAAAGGGAAAGUGCUCAGGGUUUGCUCAGGAUUACCCUUAAUCAGUUAACGUGCAGAAGAAAUGCUGCAUCCGUUCUUUCUUACCCCAUCCCACCUGACACAUAAAUGCUGUACUCUCUCCACUAACUAAAGGUGAAAUUCUGCUCCCAGAGAAUUCUUUUGUAAGCACGACCAUGCUGAGAUACACAAAGAGUUAAGCUUUCUCGAUUCCUUGUGGUUUACUCAUUUAAAUCAGCAUCGCUACAGAGCAGAAACUAUUUUGGCUCUAUGCAUAAGUGGAAUAUCUAAUAUAGAAUUACAUUAUAAUGAAAUAUGCAUUAAUGCAGGCUCAUAAAGUGCUUUUCAUGUUCUGUGGACAUCCAAAAGUUGAAAAUGCCUAUAAUCUUAUUUUAGUUGCUGCUCAAGUGAUGAUUCAUCAGGUUAAUACACUUAAUUAAAAGUCACAUUUGAAGCAUUCAAAGGGAUAGUUAGUUCGCUAUUGGCAUUUGCUGUAACACAGUUAAGCAUUGUGGAAACAAGACAAUGGGAUGUGUCACUCCUACGAACAGAAGGAAGACCUUUAAUGAUUUUCAGGAAACAGCAUGUGCUUGACACCCAAGGAAAUGUAGCUAACUGUAUCCUAAAAUAUUAGCCAUUAAUAAUAAAUUUGUGCUUAAAGAGACACUCUCAAAAUAAUACCCAAACUACGUUUAGAUGAAAAUUAAUGAAAAAGAGAUAUGUCCACGUGUCAUUUAUUCCACAGCUCAGGUCUGAUUAGUUGACUGUUGGUCACAGUCGUCAGAAAUGGGCCAAGACGGUCGAGACUGUCCCUUUUGGCUUCUGAUGACCUACCUGUCCCCAGGGUUGAAGGUGAGACUUGAAACUAAUUAAGUCCACUCCCCACCGCUUGGCACUGAAUUUAAAAUAAAAUGACUGAGCUCAUUCCGUUCACAAACAUCUUGACUUCCCAUUAAUAGCGCUUUAUCCUUUUCUUCUCCUGCCCUCAAGUUCAUGUUGGCUUAAAACGCAGUUGGGCUGCCCUCUGCUCACACGGCUCCCACUGAUGCUGUGCCGUCCCGCCGAUGGCCCUGGCCAGCCCAUCAGGUGGCACACAUGGUCCCUCACCUCACCAUCUGUUUCCUCCACCUCGGACUCAAAGCCUGGCGUGGCGGGUCAUAGCCCAGUCAAAUUCCACUUUUCCUAGAAUUGCACCUCCAGCAUUUUUGUAAAAAGUAUUUUGAAAGCUCUUUCUCAGGAUUUCCUUCUAAUUACCCUCCCUCCUAUAUUACGGAGAAAAAAUCCCCAGAGAGCCAAGCCUGCAGGUACGGGGGCCGAAGAAAAGCUGAGGGGAAAGGGAGCCGUGCCCAGGGACGUGGGCCCCAGACUCCUGAGGUCCCUCCAGCGAGGACCCCGUAGUUCCCGCGGAGGACGGGACCAGCCCUUCCCGAAGGGGAACAGCUGGGAGGCUGCGCAGACGAAUGGAAGAGAAAGGGUGCUCCUUGGGCCGGGAGGAGACCCGAGACCCCGCCAGGCGGGCACCGGGAGGCAGAGGGUCGUGCACACAGGUGUGCCCAGCUUCUCCCGUGUAACCACCCUCCCCCCGAAGAAUCUGAUGGGAAAUCAAAAUUGUUUCGCUAAUCAACGAUUUUAAAUUUCAUGUCAAUAGAGAUCCACUGCUGCCAACACACAGGGGAGUUUCCUUUACGGGGUCUACAAGUUAUUCAUUUUUUCCUUUUGGCUAUUUUGUUCCUCCUGGCUUUACUGAGUACCCUGUUCUGCCCCGGGCUCAGUUUCUCACCUUUUGCAUCAACUCCCCUGCCGCCACUUCCACCCCAAACGUGCGCGCGCGCGCGCAAACACACACACACACACACACACACACACACACACACACACACACACACACUUCAAGGGACAAUAAAUUACUAGAUCCGUAAAAGGUUGCCCUAAAUAGGAAACAUUCCUUAUACGGUAGGAUUUUUUGUCAGCAUUAUGGAGCAAUGUGUUGUUUGGGUCACGGCUAUACUGAGGCUCAGAAACAGGUCCUUGUUCUUAAAUGGUUGGACUCUUGAAAGUCAGCUGUUGGCAUUCCUGACCCUUUUAGAGCAAGUGCCACAUGCAGAGAUCAACUUGAGUGGAAAGUUUGGGGCCCACAUCAGGCAAUAAGGUCAUAUUUUCAGGGUGCUUUGACGAGAACUUUAAAUGGGUCAUAUGUGGUCAAGCAAAGUUGAUGCAGAGUACUGAAACAGCACAAAACAAGCACACUUGCAGACAGGCAAGAACAGCAUUAUCAGCAAGGAAAAACCCAGGUACUGUUCUCACAAUCUUUCCGGUCCAUAACAAAUACGGUAAUGGGGGAACAGAUCAAGCUAAUCAGGGAGAACAACCCAGAUAUCCUCCAGCAACUAAAGCUAACUUGUGCCAGAAACAGGAGAGGCCCUGUGUACAACUUGUGGAAGCUGGGAAAGUUCCAGCAAUGGUGACAAUAUUACUUCCAGGUGGAGAACUGGAUGUUCUGAAAAAGAGGAUCUCAGGGAACUGGGCUGAGAAUACUGUGUAGGGUUUUGAAUCAGGGAGAUGAAGGAAGGGGCAUGUGUCGGACAUGAUCGGGGCAUCUAGACUCCAGUGUUACGUCAGCACCCAUUUAAGAUGGCAGAGUUCACCUGAUUCUUUAUGGCUCACUGUUGCUGUGUUUUCAGGCUGUUCAGAAUGGUUCUGUGAAACAAUCUUUAAUAUCAUGAAAGAUCUUGAAACCACUUUGUAUUUUUUUUUUUUUAAUUACUAGACUUUACUUUUUAGAGCAGUUUUUAGGUUUACAGAAUUUUGAGCAGAGUUGAGCAGAGUUCCCAUAUACUUCACCACUCUCUGCCCAUCGUUUCCCCUAUUAUUAUUUUGCAUUCGUGUGGUACAUUUGUUACAACUGAUGAGCCAAUAUUGAUACAUUAUUAUUAACUAAAGUCCAUAGUUUACAUUGGGUUCCACUCUUUCUGCUGCACAUUCUAUGGGUUUUGGCAAAUAUGGAAUGACAUGUACCCACCAUUACAGUAAGAUAUGUAAUAGUUUACUUUUUUAAAGACAGCUGAGACUCUGAUUUCUAGAUAUCUAUCUAUUAUUGAUUAAAAUAAGUAUUAUUGCAGGCAAGAAAAACAGAUAGUACUUGUACAAGGAGCAGAAACGUUUAUGUAGAAAAACUCCCUCUGUUGACACACAUUGCAAUCAGGAAGAGAGGAGCCUUUCAGAACCUUUCUUUUCUUAGUAAGAAUAGCUCAUCCAGGUUUGCAACUUUUUUGCGGUACGCGGGCCUCUCACUGUUGUGGCCUCUCCCGUUGCGGAGCACAGGCUCCAGACGCGCAGGCUCAGCGGCCAUGGCUCAUGGGCCCAGCCGCUCCGCGGCAUGUGGGAUCUUCCUGGACUGGGGCGCGAACCCGC